RNAcentral lists this ribosomal RNA (253 nucleotides) under uncultured bacterium. Its description in RNAcentral is "partial 16S ribosomal RNA". It matches the Rfam family "Bacterial small subunit ribosomal RNA", at positions 524 to 776 of the family's 1533-position model. The record is from RNAcentral.
UACGUAGGUGGCGAGCGUUGUCCGGAAUUACUGGGUGUAAAGCGCGUGUAGGCGGCAGGCCAAGUCGGUGGUGAAAGCGCCCGGCUCAACUGGGCGAGGUCCAUGGAAACUGGUCAGCUGGAGGACGGUAGAGGCGAGUGGAAUUCCCGGUGUAGUGGUGAAAUGCGUAGAGAUCGGGAGGAACACCUGUGGCGAAGGCGGCAUCCUGGACCGGUAUUGACGCUGAGGCGCGAAAGCCAGGGGAGCAAACGGG